GAUGAACGCUAGCGGCAGGCUUAACACAUGCAAGUCGAGGGGCAGCGUGAAGAAGUAGCAAUACGGAUUUGACGGCGACCGGCGCACGGGUGCGUAACGCGUAUGUAAACCUACCUUUAACAGGGGAAUAACACUGAGAAAUUGGUACUAAUACCCCAUAACACUAUAGGAGGCAUCUCCUUUGGUUGAAAGUUCCGGCGGUUAAAGAUGGACAUGCGUUGUAUUAGCUAGAUGGUGAGGUAACGGCUCACCAUGGCGACGAUACAUAGGGGGACUGAGAGGUUAACCCCCACACUGGUACUGAGACACGGACCAGACUCCUACGGGAGGCAGCAGUGGGGGAUAGUUGCGCAAUGGGGGAAACCCUGACGCAGCAACGCCGCGUGAAGGA
Molecule: ribosomal RNA, 391 nt
Filed under: uncultured bacterium
Lineage: Bacteria
Description: bacterial SSU rRNA
Rfam family: Bacterial small subunit ribosomal RNA
Source: RNAcentral